GACGAACGCUGGCGGCGUGCUUAACACAUGCAAGUCGAGCGGUAAGGCCCUUUCGGGGGUACACGAGCGGCGAACGGGUGAGUAACACGUGGGUGACCUGCCUUUAGCUCUGGGAUAAGCCUGGGAAACCGGGUCUAAUACCGGAUAUGACUCCGCGGCGCAUGUUGUGGGGUGGAAAGCCUUGUGCGGCUGGGAGAUGGGCCCGCGGCCUAUCAGCUUGUUGGUGGGGUGAUGGCCUACCAAGGCGACGACGGGUAGCCGGCCUGAGA
This 269-nucleotide ribosomal RNA is filed under the name uncultured bacterium. RNAcentral's name for it is "partial 16S ribosomal RNA". It matches the Rfam family "Bacterial small subunit ribosomal RNA", at positions 28 to 297 of the family's 1533-position model. The record is from RNAcentral.